Molecule: transfer RNA, 84 nt
Filed under: Cajanus cajan (pigeon pea)
Lineage: Eukaryota; Viridiplantae; Streptophyta; Magnoliopsida; Fabales; Fabaceae
Also listed under: 1 other name
Description: tRNA gene-KK1_008064
Source: RNAcentral
UGUCAGAAGUGGGAUUUGAACCCACGCCCUCUUUCGAGGACCAGAACUUGAGUCUGGCGCCUUAGACCACUCGGCCAUCCUGAC